This 336-nucleotide ribosomal RNA is filed under the name Triticum aestivum (bread wheat). Its description in RNAcentral is "partial small subunit ribosomal RNA". Lineage: Eukaryota; Viridiplantae; Streptophyta; Magnoliopsida; Poales; Poaceae. The record is from RNAcentral.
UUGUUUGCAGGCUCAGAUGCUGAUGACAUGGAGCACGACAAAUUGGAAGACUCAAGUCACAAUACCUAUGUCGACCAUGAUCCAUUGGACUAUGUCUACUCAAACCUCCCAGACCACACACACAUCCUGAAGCACGCCGCAAAUUGCGAUCACUGCAAGGCCAAGAAGUUUGUUUCCGAGGCCCCGGGAUUCUGCUGUCGCAGUGGGCAGAUCCAGCUGAAGCAACCGGAGCCCAUCCCGGAGCUAAUGAGGCUUUGGUCUAGCAUGGACGCAGACUCAAGGCAUUUUCGGGAGAACAUACGGUUCUUCAACGGCCACUUCUCCUUCACAACCCUC